CUGCAACCAAUUAAGCCAAUGGGCCUCCUUUCCUCCCAGGGUCCCAGUGUGCAGUGGCUGCAAACAUCAGCCUCCAUGGUAAUGUCCACAGACUGUUGCUUGUAUGGAUUGCCCCGAGGGACCUUGGAGACAUCC
Molecule: small nucleolar RNA, 135 nt
Filed under: Castor canadensis (American beaver)
Lineage: Eukaryota; Metazoa; Chordata; Mammalia; Rodentia; Castoridae
Description: Small nucleolar RNA SNORA70 (ENSCCNG00000001631.1)
Rfam family: Small nucleolar RNA SNORA70
About the family: snoRNA U70 seems to be exclusive to mammals and is a member of the H/ACA class of snoRNA which contain H (ANANNA) and ACA box motifs. H/ACA box snoRNAs are involved in the conversion of uridines to pseudouridines (5-ribosyluracil) a constituent of structural RNAs (transfer, ribosomal, small nuclear, and small nucleolar).
Source: Rfam by way of RNAcentral